UCUAUCUUCCCCGGUCUACGACGUUGGUGCACCCGUCGGCCAUCAGCCGUAUCCGCUCUUUUUGUUGUUUGUAAAAUGGCUUGAAACUUUAAAAAAAUUUAUCAUUAUUUUGUUCUUUUAAUGAUGAAACACUCGGAAAAUGAAUGUAUAUUUAAUACCCCACUUUUAUAUAACUUCACCGAUUUUAAUUUACGCGACGUUUCAAAAUCGUCUCGAUACGAUAACAAUCGGUGCACCGUAAUAUAUUUACGUAUUACAGAAAUAUUUUCGGUUUCGGCGCAGUCGAUAAAGAUGUUUAGGACCGUAGUCUCUGUAGCGAUAACGCGAUGCGUUCUUAUAGUCUGAUAAAUUGUCGUUUUCGAUAAACAACGUGUACCUAUACGAUGUGUAAAUCAUAAUCUGAGGGGACAAUUCUCAGCAUAACCUCGCUGUUUGCUCCCGCCUCCCGCCAAUAUAUCAUGUAAGAACGUUUACCAGUAAACCGGAUAUUUUUCGUUAUAGGCACGAAAAACACGGAACCUCAAAAGCCUCGGGAUCGGCAAAAUGUACAUAAUAAUUUAUCACGUUUACAGCACGCCGGUUUUUCGUAUUUUUUUUAUGAUCGACCAAUAUGGAUAAGUACCUAUCGUCUUAAAACGACUGCGCAACGACGGUAUCAAUUUCUUACGACAUAAUAAUAAUUUAGUCGAUAGUAUUUUUUUAGAUUCGGAGCGUAGCGAGUUUU
This is a non-coding RNA of Cinara cedri, 724 nucleotides long. NCBI's taxonomy places the organism in Eukaryota, Metazoa, Arthropoda, Insecta, Hemiptera, Aphididae. The record is from the annotation of a GenBank genome assembly.